CCUCCCCCCGCAACGUACUACGGCACGUCAGCGUGGCCUUCUUCUGCUGCACCGUCGUACCACGCAGGCCCCUCCAGCCAGUACACAUGGACGUCUGCCGAGCCUUCACAGUCCUCCUACCCUAGUCAGGAGGAUGAGGCUGGCCCCGACACCGCAUACGACAUCGUCCGUGACUUCUUCGGGGGCACACCUGACUACGACGUCCUUCAGCGGUCCCAGGUUUCCAGUGCACCGCUUCGGACCCAGCCCACGCAUGACGAGCCCUCGACACCGGUGGUCCCUACUAGGCCUAGCAGACACGUCGGCCCACCUGACCCCCUCACCUACUCCAGGGGUCACGUGAGGGUUAACCAGCGGCAUCGGGACCACGAUGGGGCGCACGGACGACGGCAACGAGGGAGGCAUGAGUAGCAUUUUACAUUUUUUGUAACUAACAUAUGCGUAUUCGCUUCGUGAUGUGCUCAUAUGUAUUAAGACACGUUCACUUUGUAUGGUCGACUUAGCAUUUCGUAAAUGCAUUUCAUAUUCAGACA
This is a long non-coding RNA of Phragmites australis (common reed), 533 nucleotides long. RefSeq lists it as uncharacterized. Lineage: Eukaryota; Viridiplantae; Streptophyta; Magnoliopsida; Poales; Poaceae. The record is from RefSeq and is a predicted model, not a curated record. The transcript has 2 exons.